RNAcentral lists this ribosomal RNA (496 nucleotides) under uncultured bacterium. RNAcentral describes it as "partial 16S ribosomal RNA". It matches the Rfam family "Bacterial small subunit ribosomal RNA", at positions 29 to 507 of the family's 1533-position model. The record is from RNAcentral.
AUGAACGCUGGCGGCGUGCCUAAUACAUGCAAGUCGAGCGGACGGACGAGAAGCUUACUUCUCUGAUGUUAGCGGCGGACGGGUGAGUAACACGUGGAUAACCUACCUAUAAGACUGGGAUAACUUCGGGAAACCGGAGCUAAUACCGGAUGAUAUUUUGAACCGCAUGGUUCAAAAGUGAAAGACGGUCUUGCUGUCACUUAUAGAUGGAUCCGCGCUGCAUUAGCUAGUUGGUAAGGUAACGGCUUACCAAGGCAACGAUGCAUAGCCGACCUGAGAGGGUGAUCGGCCACACUGGAACUGAGACACGGUCCAGACUCCUACGGGAGGCAGCAGUAGGGAAUCUUCCGCAAUGGGCGAAAGCCUGACGGAGCAACGCCGCGUGAGUGAUGAAGGUCUUCGGAUCGUAAAACUCUGUUAUUAGGGAAGAACAUAUGUGUAAGUAACUGUGCACAUCUUGACGGUACCUAAUCAGAAAGCCACGGCUAACUACGUG